UGCACAUUGGCCCUUAAAGUGUCAAAUGUUUAGGCAGUGUGAAAUGACAAGCCUCAGAAAUGAAUAAGAAUUCAUGAAAUAGUGCUACUUAUGAUCUUAUCAACAAAUGUAUGAACUUUGGCCAGGUGCCAUACAAACAUCAGUAAAGUGAAUAUAUUUCGAUGCCAUAGUUAUUACAGAUAUUGUUUCUAAAAUAUAACUGGUUAAAACCUCAGGACAUUGGCAUUAGAAACAACUGGAGACAUCUCAAAAUGUACCAUUGAAAGAUCCCAUAUGUAUAUUAACUAUUUUGGUCACGAAAAUCAAUUUAUUACAUAGAUUUCAUAAAUGUUAGGUUUCAUAGACUGUAUCAUGUGACUAGUUCGCGCGUGAAGCAUCUUGACGUUUAUGGUCAAGCUCACGAACUGUGGCACACACAGCAUUAUUCUCCCAGACUGAAGAGUUUCUUUGCCACCGAGUAUUUACAGAUAUUUAAGUGAUUUUAUCUCAAGUUAUAUUGGAGAGAAUGUUGCACACACUUAUUUUGUUCUCUUUGAGUUUGUAUUCUCUGGCUGGUGAGUUAUAAACAUGUGUUUAUAUUGUCUUUACUUCAAGUAUGGUGUUCAUGUACUAUUGAAAUCGUUUAGAGGUUUUAAAUGAGCUGCUAUUAAUCUUGUUUUCCAGGUGUCUGAUACAUUCACUUGCACUAAUGUCUGUCUCUCUUUAGCCGUUGCUGCAGCACAACUUUCAGCUCCUCUGUUCCUCAGUGAAUCUGUGAUAGUGCUGAUCUCAGCUGCUGCUGGAUCUCUGGUGUAUAUGGUUUUGAUUUGGAUGUUUUGUGUGUGCAGGGGACACAAAGAGGCAGCUCAGACCCAUGAAUAUGAGACUCCUCAAUCACUCCACAAACAGAUUGGACAAAUGACGGUAAGUGUUAAAUACUAUUAAAUACCAAAUAUGUUUAACAAGUUUGUGAAAUAGCAUGCGGUAUAUGAUGUUAUUAUAUUCCAAAUAUGUCAUGCUUCCUGUGCUAACUGUUGUUAUCUGAUGUUGAACAUGUUUUAUGGUUUCUGCAGUUGUUUUGUGACUGUUUGCUGGUAUUAAAAUGUUGAUAAAUUUCCAUUCUAAAAUUUUAUGAUAAAACUCUUAAAAGUAUAAAAGACACAGAGACUCUUCCAUUACAAUACAAUACAAAAAUAAAUAAAUAAACCAUUCAGUGCA
Long non-coding RNA from Cyprinus carpio (common carp), 1197 nucleotides. The record is from Ensembl. Lineage: Eukaryota; Metazoa; Chordata; Actinopteri; Cypriniformes; Cyprinidae.